Molecule: ribosomal RNA, 252 nt
Filed under: uncultured bacterium
Lineage: Bacteria
Description: partial 16S ribosomal RNA
Rfam family: Bacterial small subunit ribosomal RNA
Source: RNAcentral
UACAGAGGUCUCAAGCGUUGCUCGGAAUCACUGGGCGUAAAGGGCGCGUAGGCGGGGAGGUAAGUCGGGUGUGAAAUCCCUCGGCCCAACCGAGGAACUGCGCCCGAGACUGCUUCUCUUGAGUCCCGGAGAGGAAGAUGGAAUUCCCGGUGUAGCGGUGAAAUGCGUAGAGAUCGGUAGGAACACCAGUGGCGAAGGCGGUCUCCUGGGUUAUCUUGACGCUGAUGCGCGAAAGCUGGGGGAGCGAACGGG